UACGGGGGGGGCAAGCGUUGUUCGGAAUUACUGGGCGUAAAGGGCUCGUAGGUGGCCAACUAAGUCGGACGUGAAAUCCCUCAGCUUAACUGGGGAACUGCGUCCGAUACUGGAUGGCUUGAGUUUGGGAGAGGGAUGCGGAAUUUCAGGUGUAGCGGUGAAAUGCGUAGAUAUCUGGAGGAACACCGGUGGCGAAGGCGGCAUCCUGGACCAACACUGACACUGAGGAGCGAAAGCCAGGGGAGCAAACGGG
This 253-nucleotide ribosomal RNA is filed under the name uncultured bacterium. Its description in RNAcentral is "partial 16S ribosomal RNA". It matches the Rfam family "Bacterial small subunit ribosomal RNA", at positions 524 to 776 of the family's 1533-position model. The record is from RNAcentral.